CCUACGGGUGGCUGCAGUCGAGAAUCUUCGUCAAUGGGCGAAAGCCUGAACGAGCGACGCCGCGUGCGGGAUGAAGGCCUUUGGGUUGUAAACCGCUGUCGAGGGGGAUGAAGGCGUUCCGGUCCUCCGGAACGUUUGACAGAGCCCUGGAGGAAGCACGGGCUAAGUUCGUGCCAGCAGCCGCGGUAAUACGAACUGUGCGAACGUUAUUCGGAAUCACUGGGCUUACAGGGUGCGUAGGCGGCUACUCAAGUCAGGUGUGAAAGCCCCCGGCUCAACCGGGGAACUGCGCUUGAAACUGGGUGGCUCGAGUCAGCUAGAGGUGCACGGAACUUCCAGUGGAGCGGUGAAAUGUGUUGAUAUUGGAAGGAACACCAGAGGCGUAAGCGGUGCACUGGGGCUGGUCUGACGCUGAGGCACGAAAGCCAGGGUAGCGAACG
Molecule: ribosomal RNA, 440 nt
Filed under: uncultured bacterium
Lineage: Bacteria
Description: bacterial SSU rRNA
Rfam family: Bacterial small subunit ribosomal RNA
Source: RNAcentral